UACGGUCGCAAGAUUAAAACUCAAAGGAAUUGACGGGGACCCGCACAAGCGGUGGAUGAUGUGGAUUAAUUCGAUGCAACGCGAAAAACCUUACCUACCCUUGACAUGGCAGGAAUCCCUGAGAGAUCGGGGAGUGCUCGAAAGAGAACCUGCACACAGGUGCUGCAUGGCUGUCGUCAGCUCGUGUCGUGAGAUGUUGGGUUAAGUCCCGCAACGAGCGCAACCCUUGUCAUUAGUUGCUACGAAAGGGCACUC
Molecule: ribosomal RNA, 255 nt
Filed under: Rugamonas fusca
Lineage: Bacteria; Pseudomonadati; Pseudomonadota; Betaproteobacteria; Burkholderiales; Oxalobacteraceae
Description: partial 16S ribosomal RNA
Rfam family: Bacterial small subunit ribosomal RNA
Source: RNAcentral